AUAAACCUUGAUCAAACCUUUGGCUGUGGCAGGAUCAAAUGUGGAUGAAGAUGAGAAAGAGAAUACACCACAGGAAAAAUGUAUUAAAAAGAGAAAGUUGAAUAUACUUAUACAAGACUAUAUCAUAUAACAAGGAAGAA
Harpegnathos saltator (Jerdon's jumping ant) is the source of this 140-nucleotide long non-coding RNA. RefSeq lists it as uncharacterized. The record is from RefSeq and is a predicted model, not a curated record. The transcript is spliced from 2 exons. NCBI's taxonomy places the organism in Eukaryota, Metazoa, Arthropoda, Insecta, Hymenoptera, Formicidae.